This is a long non-coding RNA of Humulus lupulus (European hop), 728 nucleotides long. RefSeq lists it as uncharacterized. The transcript is spliced from 4 exons. Lineage: Eukaryota; Viridiplantae; Streptophyta; Magnoliopsida; Rosales; Cannabaceae. The record is from RefSeq and is a predicted model, not a curated record.
UGAUAUUUUGAAGAGUAUUGUGAGCAAUUCCCACACUAAGAAUCGAUCACUCUCCAUCUCUCAUUCACUAUCAUCUUUUUUGAAGACCUCUCAAAGUGUUCUCUCCAUUUUUCAAGCCCAAGAACACCAAGGAAACUUUGAGGCUAAGUCUUGGUCUAGGAAGUAUUUUCCCUAAGUUUGUUAGGGUUUUUGAAAGGUUUUGGAGGAGCCAAAGCUAAUAGGAAGGUCCAAACCUUAAGCAAGAACACUAAAGAGUAUUGGCUAAGCGUAACUGGACUGAACGUUGGAGGGUGAAAACCUGCUGAGCGCUAAGGACUCCAAGUAAGAACAAGGGCAAGGCAGAGCAGUGAGCGCUGGAGUCUUCCUUGCAAAUGUACAUGUGGACCGACCUUUUGGGAAGCCGUUUUAUUUUUGGAAAUGUUGUGUAAUUUUCCUAAGCAAGGCUCACUCUACUCUUUAUAAAAAAAUGUUUGUAACUAAAUGUUAAGUAUGGCCAUACGACUUUUUAAAAAGUUUUUUUUAUACGGGUUUUUGAGACAUUUUGUUAAAUGAAAACAUUUAUAUUUCCGCAUUAUCGAGUCUUGAAAAUCUGGGUCGUUACAUAGGUAAACUCCCUUCUUAGCCGCAUACUGUAGGUUGUUUUUCUUUUUGGCUGGAAUUUUAUGCGUAGGUUUUUAUCCUAGGGGUAUCGACCAUAGGAAAGAGAAUGCUUAGGAACAUGACGCAUA